RNAcentral lists this ribosomal RNA (496 nucleotides) under uncultured bacterium. RNAcentral's name for it is "partial 16S ribosomal RNA". It matches the Rfam family "Bacterial small subunit ribosomal RNA", at positions 28 to 506 of the family's 1533-position model. The record is from RNAcentral.
GAUGAACGCUGGCGGCGUGCCUAAUACAUGCAAGUCGAGCGAACAGACGAGGAGCUUGCUCCUCUGACGUUAGCGGCGGACGGGUGAGUAACACGUGGAUAACCUACCUAUAAGACUGGGAUAACUUCGGGAAACCGGAGCUAAUACCGGAUAAUAUAUUGAACCGCAUGGUUCAAUAGUGAAAGACGGUUUUGCUGUCACUUAUAGAUGGAUCCGCGCCGCAUUAGCUAGUUGGUAAGGUAACGGCUUACCAAGGCAACGAUGCGUAGCCGACCUGAGAGGGGGAUCGGCAACACUGGAACUGAGACACGGUCCAGACUCCGACGGGAGGCAGCAGUAGGGAAUCUUCCGCAAUGGGCGAAAGCCUGACGGAGCAACGCCGCGUGAGUGAUGAAGGUCUGCGGAUCGUAAAACUCUGUUAUUAGGGAAGAACAAAUGUGUAAGUAACUAUGCACGUCUUGACGGUACCUAAUCAGAAAGCCACGGCUAACUACGU